CCCUCCUUUUAACCCCGGCACUGGGUGAUGGCGGAGCAGCUGCGGGAGUAGGGGUUGGCCUGGGCGCCAGGGCGGCAGUUGUAGUAGGAGGCGCCGCGGCGGGAGCAGGGCACGGUGUCGCGCUUGAGGGCGCCGUAGCUGAUGUAGCUGGAUGUAGCGAGGAUGCGGCGGGUCACCUCGGAUCCGAGGUCGAACUCUUCACCGGCGAGGCACUCCGCGAUGGUGCCACGGCAGCCGGCAAGCGCCGGGAUCCAGCCGAGGGGAAGCUCGCCCCCUUCUCCGCUUGCGGCGGCCGGGGUGAUGGCGGCCGCACCUGCAACGAGGAGGAUGGCCGCCACAAGGAGGGAGCUUUCCACCAGCUUCGCCAUUCUUUCUCUAAGGAGACGAAAGAAAAAGAAGACUCUCUCUCUCUCUUUUAGUACGAGUAGUUGCCUGGCGCUCUCCUUUCUUUGUACUAAUAACUCGUGAGGGAGGGAGGAAGAUGACCAGAGAAGG
This 495-nucleotide long non-coding RNA is filed under the name Musa acuminata (dwarf banana). RNAcentral's name for it is "long non-coding RNA (MACU_LNC004355)". Lineage: Eukaryota; Viridiplantae; Streptophyta; Magnoliopsida; Zingiberales; Musaceae. The record is from RNAcentral.